RNAcentral lists this ribosomal RNA (482 nucleotides) under uncultured bacterium. RNAcentral's name for it is "bacterial SSU rRNA". It matches the Rfam family "Bacterial small subunit ribosomal RNA", at positions 30 to 507 of the family's 1533-position model. The record is from RNAcentral.
AUUGAACGCUGGCGGCAUGCCUUACACAUGCAAGUCGAACGGUAACGGGCCUUCGGGUGCCGACGAGUGGCGAACGGGUGAGUAAUGUAUCGGAACGUACCUUUCAGUGGGGGAUAACGUAGCGAAAGUUACGCUAAUACCGCAUAUUCUGUGCGCAGGAAAGCAGGGGAUCGCAAGACCUUGCGCUGAUUGAGCGGCCGAUAUCAGAUUAGCUAGUUGGUGAGGUAAAGGCUCACCAAGGCGACGAUCUGUAGCGGGUCUGAGAGGAUGAUCCGCCACACUGGAACUGAGACACGGUCCAGACUCCUACGGGAGGCAGCAGUGGGGAAUUUUGGACAAUGGGGGCAACCCUGAUCCAGCCACGCCGCGUGAGUGAAGAAGGCCUUCGGGUUGUAAAGCUCUUUCGGCCGGGAAGAAAUCGUAUCAGCUAAUACCUGGUGCGGAUGACGGUACCGGCAUAAGAAGCACCGGCUAACUACGUG